UGAUCUGACGAGCUUGCUCUGAUUUGAUUUUAUCUGACAAAGAGUGGCGAACGGGUGAGUAACACGUGGGUAACCUACCUCUUAGCAGGGGAUAACAUUUGGAAACAAGUGCUAAUACCGUAUAAUACCAACAACCGCAUGGUUGUUGGUUGAAAGAUGGUUCUGCUAUCACUAAGAGAUGGACCCGCGGUGCAUUAGCUAGUUGGUAAGGUAACGGCUUACCAAGGCAAUGAUGCAUAGCCGAGUUGAGAGACUGAUCGGCCACAAUGGGACUGAGACACGGCCCAUACUCCUACGGGAGGCAGCAGUAGGGAAUCUUCCACAAUGGGCGCAAGCCUGAUGGAGCAACGCCGCGUGUGUGAUGAAGGGUUUCGGCUCGUAAAACACUGUUAUAAGAGAAGAACGGCACUGAGAGUAACUGUUCAGUGUGUGACGGUAUCUUACCAGAAAGGAACGGCUAAAUACGUGCCAGCAGCCGCGGUAAUACGUAUGUUCCAAGCGUUAUCCGGAUUUAUUGGGCGUAAAGCGAGCGCAGACGGUUAUUUAAGUCUGAAGUGAAAGCCCUCAGCUCAACUGAGGAAUGGCUUUGGAAACUGGAUGACUUGAGUGCAGUAGAGGAAAGUGGAA
RNAcentral lists this ribosomal RNA (627 nucleotides) under Weissella paramesenteroides. RNAcentral's name for it is "bacterial SSU rRNA". It matches the Rfam family "Bacterial small subunit ribosomal RNA", at positions 56 to 666 of the family's 1533-position model. The record is from RNAcentral. Lineage: Bacteria; Bacillati; Bacillota; Bacilli; Lactobacillales; Lactobacillaceae.